GAUGAACGCUGGCGGCGUGCCUAAUACAUGCAAGUAGAACGCUGAAGCUUGGUGCUUGCACCGAGCGGAUGAGUUGCGAACGGGUGAGUAACGCGUAGGUAACCUGCCUCUUAGCGGGGGAUAACUAUUGGAAACGAUAGCUAAUACCGCAUAAAAGUCGAUAUCGCAUGAUGUUGACUUGAAAGGUGCAAUUGCAUCACUAAGAGAUGGACCUGCGUUGUAUUAGCUAGUUGGUGAGGUAACGGCUCACCAAGGCGACGAUACAUAGCCGACCUGAGAGGGUGAUCGGCCACACUGGGACUGAGACACGGCCCAGACUCCUACGGGAGGCAGCAGUAGGGAAUCUUCGGCAAUGGGGGCAACCCUGACCGAGCAACGCCGCGUGAGUGAAGAAGGUUUUCGGAUCGUAAAGCUCUGUUGUAAGAGAAGAACGAGUGUGAGAGUGGAAAGUUCACGC
RNAcentral lists this ribosomal RNA (457 nucleotides) under Streptococcus parasanguinis. RNAcentral describes it as "bacterial SSU rRNA". It matches the Rfam family "Bacterial small subunit ribosomal RNA", at positions 28 to 469 of the family's 1533-position model. The record is from RNAcentral. Lineage: Bacteria; Bacillati; Bacillota; Bacilli; Lactobacillales; Streptococcaceae.